UGGCAGUGUAUUGUUAGCUGGUUGG
Molecule: microRNA, 25 nt
Filed under: Eptesicus fuscus (big brown bat)
Lineage: Eukaryota; Metazoa; Chordata; Mammalia; Chiroptera; Vespertilionidae
Description: efu-miR-449
Gene: efu-miR-449
Source: miRBase by way of RNAcentral